This 259-nucleotide ribosomal RNA is filed under the name uncultured prokaryote. RNAcentral's name for it is "partial 16S ribosomal RNA". It matches the Rfam family "Bacterial small subunit ribosomal RNA", at positions 524 to 782 of the family's 1533-position model. The record is from RNAcentral.
UACGUAGGUGGCAAGCGUUAUCCGGAAUUAUUGGGCGUAAAGAGCGCGCAGGUGGUUGAUUAAGUCUGAUGUGAAAGCCCACGGCUUAACCGUGGAGGGUCAUUGGAAACUGGUCGACUUGAGUGCAGAAGAGGGAAGUGGAAUUCCAUGUGUAGCGGUGAAAUGCGUAGAGAUAUGGAGGAACACCAGUGGCGAUGGCGGCUUCCUGGUCUGUAACUGACACUGAGGCGCGAAAGCGUGGGGAGCAAACAGGAUUAGA